This 415-nucleotide ribosomal RNA is filed under the name Staphylococcus aureus. RNAcentral's name for it is "partial 23S ribosomal RNA". It matches the Rfam family "Bacterial large subunit ribosomal RNA", at positions 808 to 1226 of the family's 2925-position model. Lineage: Bacteria; Bacillati; Bacillota; Bacilli; Caryophanales; Staphylococcaceae. The record is from RNAcentral.
ACUGAGGGUAGCGGAGAAAUUCCAAUCGAACCUGGAGAUAGCUGGUUCUCUCCGAAAUAGCUUUAGGGCUAGCCUCAAGUGAUGAUUAUUGGAGGUAGAGCACUGUUUGGACGAGGGGCCCCUCUCGGGUUACCGAAUUCAGACAAACUCCGAAUGCCAAUUAAUUUAACUUGGGAGUCAGAACAUGGGUGAUAAGGUCCGUGUUCGAAAGGGAAACAGCCCAGACCACCAGCUAAGGUCCCAAAAUAUAUGUUAAGUGGAAAAGGAUGUGGCGUUGCCCAGACAACUAGGAUGUUGGCUUAGAAGCAGCCAUCAUUUAAAGAGUGCGUAAUAGCUCACUAGUCGAGUGACACUGCGCCGAAAAUGUACCGGGGCUAAACAUAUUACCGAAGCUGUGGAUUGUCCUUUGGACAAU